CAUUCUUCUUCGGCAGUAUGCCUGCCGCUGGAUGGAAGGGCUAGAGUCUUGUACUCCUGGCUUCUUUAUGAGAAUCACCAUAAACUAUCAUCUUCUCUUGAUAAACAUUUUAAGUGAGAAAUCUUUUCACUUCUCAAAAAAAAAAAAAAAACCUGCAGCAAAUAAUGGACUUUCUCUAUAAAGUGCCUUACACCGUGGAAAUGCUGUGAGGAAGCUAAGUAGAAAGUUCCAGAGUACCACUGUGUCCCUGCUCCUUCUUCUGACAGCAGCACUUCGGCUUUCCUUGGAGAGUGCUCUUCAACCUUCUCUGUUCCUAUGCUUCUGUAGCGGCGCAUGGCCCAGGCCCCAGGGGUGGACACAGAACCCAGGCUGGGCCAGUCAGAGGCAACUUCGGCAGGCACUGCUAGACUCGAGUUAGGGCACAGCCUGCCUGGGAGUGGAGCUGAUGCUGAGGGAAGGGAGGCCGAGAGGAGGGCGGAGUCCUGAGGGCAUCCUCGGAGCUCCAGCUCCAGCUGGUCUUUUCAUUAGAGAACCAGCGUCCCUGCUCCAACCCAACCUACCUGGCUCCACUGACGAGAAAGACCUGCUUUACACGCCAGUGUCCCAGGGACAGACGCCUGGCCCAUCAGCUUGGGAGCUGUCCAGAUAACUCUCAGCCCCCAAGGCAACCGCCAGCCAACACUGAAGACGGUGCAGGAGUCACACUCCAAGGGCCCAGCCUCUUCCCAGGGCUCUGUCCCCCGUUCCAGGGGGACCAGAAGAGGCCUCUGAUGAGCCCCCGUGCCACAGAGCUGAGUCCAGUCUCAAGGUGUGGAGAAGUACAGGCUGACCUCUCAUUUCCUCAGAGCCUGAGCCGGCAAAGACACAGCGGGUCAAGUUCACAGAUAAGUGUAAAAACUGACACUGGCCCCUCUCAAGGGGUGGAGAGAAUCUUUCUCACAAAAGUUUUCACUAUUCAUCCCACGCUUUUUCUCCCUAAAAGCAAAGACAGAUUUUAGACAGAUUUUAGAGACAUUCUUUGAAGAUCUUUCUGGUCCCAUGUGACCUGUUGCAGUGACUGAGACCCUAAUAAAGAGCAACGGGCAUCUCCAUAGCAGGUGGUCCUCAUGACACCUCCCUGAUCGACCCUGACCUGGGCACCAGGUCCCGGACCAGCCCCAGGCAUAUUUUAUAUCCAUAUGCCUCUUGUCAUCCCCAUGAUAACCCCGUUCUACAGGUGAGGAAACUGAGGCUUGGCAAGGUCCCACAGCUGGUAAAUAGCAGAACCAAGUAGUGCCGUCUGUUUGACCUGUCCCAGCCCACACUCCUGCCAUGGGGCCACUCCCUUUUGUAACGGGGUGAGCACUGGCCUAGAAUCUGAGGAUCCAGCUCUGAGCCAGUGACGCACGCUCUCCCUGGAAGCUCAGCUUCGUUACUUUCUAAACGGGGGGAGGAAAGGCCACCCUCCCACUGCCCAGGUGAGGGUUCUGGGUGGGGGCAGGAAGAGAGUAGAGUGAAAAUAAAUUUCUUUUAAAUUUAUAGCUAACCAGAUUUUCUCUGGCAGCAAUUUAUAUGUUUCCCCUAAUUCAGGCAACUGUGAAUACGAGAAAAGCAUUCAGCCGUUUAAGAGUGCUAUUUAACUCAUUACAAAGAACAAUUCUUUUGAAUCUCUGAAAAUUUUCUGGAAGUCACAUGUCAUUUUCACUUUCACCUAUUAAAACUGAAGCUUACAUUCAGCGUUUUAAAAAGCAUCCCGGUGCAGAGGCAGCCAGCAGCUGGCGGCACAGGUUGGGUCUCGGGCCGAGCCAGAGGUCCUCCCUCCCUGGGAGCACAGACCAUCUCAGCAAGUUGCCGUCUUAGGCUCAGACCUGAACUUAUUUUGAGAGAAAGAAAGACCUGAAAAAGGUCACAAUGAACCCACAGAAAGUCUUCAACGUCUGUCAUUAUCUCGACUCACUGUGGGCUUAGGAGUGGUCUGCACGCAUUCCAGGAGCCCAGCAGGAAAAAGCUGGGCCCUGAGGAAGUGGAGUUCCUGGGCUGGAGUGGAGCCCAAGGCCUGUAUGAGAUCCCUUCACACAUCUGCUUCCCUCAUAAGGGAUCCCUAACUCCCAGGCUCUGCCAGGUAGAAACCAAACUAGCGCAGGGCCAGGAGCCAGAGCAAGGGCUUACCUGGUAGGAACAUCUGCUAAGCUCUGAACCAAAUGCAAAAGCUGCUAUUUUAAUGAUCAUAAAUUCCUACCGCAGGUUCCCCCAGUACCCUGGCUACCGUGUUAAUGGAAUCAUUUUUCAAUUUACUGGGUACAGAGGAGACCCAGUGCACAGGGCCGAGCAGAGGGUCUGUGUGUGUGUGUGUGUGUGUGUGUGUGUGUGUGUGUGUACACGCCUGCAUUUUUCAGGAGUAACGAUAUUUGCAUAACACACAUAUCGUUGCAGAUACCAGAUAAACAGGAAGUUUCAGAACCGAUGCUGUUUCCUUUCGCUGUGAAUCAGCAGCCUCUUUCUUCUCAUACAGAAAUGGUGAAAAUCACAGGGUAUGGCUCUGGAAUGUGCAGUACGGGAGGAAGAGCACAAAGGUUUCCAGUCCCCUUUUUUGGUGGUGGGGGCGGGGGGCUUCCCUGGACACCCAGCCCUGCGCAUGCUCCUCAGGCCCGCAGUCUCCGCCUGCCUGGCUUCCUCCAGCGCUUCAGGAGAUGCUUCCAUGCCAGCCCUCGACACAUUAGCCGAACAGUGUCCAGCGGCACAACGUUGUUCGUUUCACCAGUGCUUGGAAGAAGCCCAGCCAGGAGGGUGAGGGAGCCCUUACCUCCUGGUUCCUGGCCCCAGGUUUGUGUCACCGAGAGGCCAUGUGGAGUACGGAGCACGCCCUGGACUUGGCACCAGAAUCCCUGGGUUCAGACCCCUGCUCCAGCCAGAGAGACCUUGGGCCACCCGUUUUCCCCUCUGAGGCUGGGUUUCCCUAUCAGUUCCGUGGGGCUGCAGGUUGGGGACUGUAAUACACGUGUAAUACACGUGAACAGCAGGGAAUAUAAAGCUGCAAAUAAAAAGCACACGCUUUGGAGUCAGAUGUCUGAGUUCAAAACCCAGCUCCAUUGUGUUCUGGCUAUGAGACUUGGGGCAAAUUGCUGAACUUUUCCAAGUCCAUUUGCUCAUCUAUGAAACGGAGAUAAUAAGAAUAGUCUAACGGAACCCUCGUACACUGCUGGUAGGAAUGUAAAUCGGUGCAGUCACUGUGGAAAACAGUAUGGAAGUUCCUGGAAAAACUAAAUAGAGAACUAGCAUAUGAUCCAGCAAUUCCACUCCUGGAUAUGUAUCUGGAAAAAACAAAAACACUAAUUCGAAACAUUACAUGCACCCCAGUGUUCAUAGCAGCACUGUUUACAAUAACCAAGACGUGGAGGCAACUCAAGUGCACACCAACAAAUGAUUGGAUUAAGAAGCUGUGGUAUAGAGAUACACAAUGGAAUAAUACUCAGCCCAAAAAAAAAAAAAAAGAAAUACUGCCAUUUGCAGCAACGUGGACGGACCUAGAGAAUAUUAUGCUUAGUGAAAUGUCAGAGAAAACAAGUACUGCAUGAUAUCACUUACAUGUAGAAUCUAAAAAAAGAUACAAACGAAUGUAUAUGCAAAGCAGAACAGACUCACAGAUAUAAAAAACAAACUUGCGGUUACCAAAGGGGAGAGGGAAGGUGAGACGGACAAAUUAGGGGGUAUGGGAUUAACAGAUACAAACUGCUAUGUAUAAAAUAGGUAAGAAACAAAGAUGUACUGUACAGCACAAGGAACUGUAGCCGUUAUCUAUCUUGUAAUAACUUAUAAGGGAGUAUAAUCUGCAAAAAUACUGAAUCACUGUGCUGUACACCUGAAACUAACAAUAUUGUAAGUCAACUAUAAUUCAAUUGAAAAAAAAAAUAAUCUACCUGACAGUCUAUUGAGAGGGUGAAAUGACAUAUUACUUAGCACCCAAAGCAGUGUCUGGCUCACAGGAAACUCUCAUCUGUGUGAACCAGUUUUCCGACUGCCUUCUGCCCCUCCUCCUUCCUCCGUCCUCCUUCCACCUGCCUCACCCAACACUGAAAGACCCGUGAGGUAGGGACCACUGCUGAGCUUCACCGGUGACUGCCCAGCACCUGGCUUGGCAUGUAAUAAGGCUUAACAAAUCAGUUGAAUAAAAGAGUAGAUGUUCCUGGUUCAUAGCAGGUGCUGAGGAAAUGUAGAAUAUGUAUGUAUGAAAGCCACAGACCACAUCAUGCUCUAGUUUUGAAAUCCCUAAAAGGGGACCAGUAUAGAAUAAUGAUUACAGGCAUCGCAGACUUAUACAGCAGUCAGAUCUGGUGUGUCCUUUAACUUCUCUCAGCCUCACUUCCCUGAUCUGUAAAAUGGGCACAGUAGUAGUAACUCACCCACGCUGAGUUGUUUUAGGGUUAAAUGAGAUAAUACAUGCAAAAUACUUAACAUAGCGCUCUGCACAUAAUAAGCAUGUAGAGGAAUGUGUUGGAGAAAUCCCAGCUUCAAGACCCUAGAGGAAGAUGAUUCAAAGACUUGACUUUUUUCCCAAGAGGACAAGCCUUGGGCCUGGUAACCCUCUUGCCUCAUUUCUCUUGGUUCCCUCCUUCCCAGCAGUAUCCCUCUUCCUCCUUAGGCCUGGUGGUCUUUUCUUGUUGAAGAGUUGGUACUUCUGAAGCCCUGCUCCCACCACCCCUGUGGGAUUUCUGCACAGGACAGCGAGCUACGCCUCACUGACCCCACUCUGCUGCUCUGUGCAUGUGUGCGUGGGUGCAUGGGUGCAAGGGUUUGGGAGGCUUGUCUCUGCAAGGAACACAGCACGCUGAUCCAGGUAUUUACUCUGGGGCUUGGAUGCAGUGGACGCAAGGGCGAAACACCAAGGUCUGUACUCAGAUAGCCUGACUUUGCAUCAGAGCUCUGCACGGACAAGCUGUCUGAUCUCAGACAAGUCUGCUACCCUCUCUCAACCUCAAUUUCCUAAUCUGUAAAAUGGGGGGACCAGUGCUAGUACCCAGGGCUGCUUUUGAAAACACUUAAUAACCAGCUUUGGCACUAACCUAUUAAAUGAAUGCCAGUCAGUACAGGCACACCUGCUAAAAAUUAACUCUGCUAAUUUCUACUGCAGAGGUUGCUAUGGCUCCUGGCGCAUUAUAAACACCCUAAACUUUAGCCACGACUUUUAUGUUUAGCUCAUGUCACACAGUUCCCAGAACAGUCCCCAGGGGAGGGACAUUCAGAGAGGUGGUGCCUCUAAACAGACCUGGUCUUUGUCCUCUCCCAGGUUAACUAAGAACCCCUUGCUUCUCUUUGCUCACCAGAGAGUCACAAAAGUGCUGGGGAUGGGAAAGGACCUUGGUAUUAUCUGCCCAAUGCAAAUCAGUGCACCCCUGUGUUCCCCUUGGGUGGGAUCUGUUUUCCCCAUGAGAGUUUUUCGCAAAUCUUCAUCACGGCCACAGAAGUGCAAAAUACAUGGUGGCCCAGUCACAGGGUUUGUUCACAGUACAAGCCAAGCCAGUGUGUGGCUCGCAGAUCACACACUGGGGCCCCCUGCAUUGCCCAGAUGGAAAAAUCCAGAGAUGUUUAUUGUGCAUGUACCACUGGACAGCUUCUGUGUCUGAGGCCAGAGUCUCUCCCUCCUGUUACCACUCUUGGACCAGGUUUUUGAAAAGGGUCCCAGGGCAUGCAGAGCAUGCAGGCAGCCCUCCACAGCAGCAGGAAUUUAUUCUCGGGCACCCCCCAUUCUGCUUCCUGCACCCCAACAACCCAUAGCCAGAAACAUCAAGGACACCGGGCCCAGCUGCCCGGAGGCUAGAGGUCACUUCUGCCCCCAGCAAGAGUCUGCAGGAGGCCACGUCUGCUAAGGGCCAGGACAGCCGCUCAGCCUGGAGGCCCUGCCUGGGCUUUGACGGCCUGCUGGGCCCCCGUCAUGAAGACUAAAAGCAGCCAUCUCUCUCCCGCAGACCGGGCAGUCCAUCUAUGUUUGGGGCUGCGUAUCUAUGAAGUCCUAUCCUGUCGCCUCAUAAAAGUUGCUCCCACUGGAGCGAGUGUGGAAGCGGGCCAGGGAGGGAGGUGACUCUACCUCAGGGCAGCCCAUCAGGACCAAAUAAUAGAAUGCAAACCCAAAUGGGAUUUUCUAGUAAAUGUUUUAACGGAGGACUUUUUUUCUUUUUAGAACUGCAUCCUUCAGGAUUAGAGCUCAGCAGGAAUUUACCCAUGGGUUUUUCGAGCAUCUAUAUUUGUCCUUUGCUAUGUCACAACUGUCAACAAAAUAACAUUGUAAUCAUAAAGCUGCCAUUUCUUGUCUGUAAGCUCUGCUCCAACCUCUAGCAGGUAUUUAUAGUAUACAUAUUCUGUCCUUUGAUGUAUUCCUUACCAAAACCCAUGAGAAAGGAAGUAUAAUAACAAUACUAAUUAUUAUAAUAAUUAUGCUUUUGAUUAUAAUUACCAAUAAUAAAAUAAAUUUUAUUUUAAUAAAUAAAACAUGCAUCAAACUUUUUUUCACAUGCCAGGCUUUGUGCUCCUUGUCCUAUAACUAACAUCUCACUUGUUCCCUCCAUGAGCUCCAUAAAGUAAGUACUAUUAUUGCCCCAUUUCACAGAUGAGUAAGAGGAGACCUGGGACUCUAGCCCAGAUCGGCUGCCCCCAGAGCCUGUGAGCUUCCCCACUGCACCAUCCAGCCUCCCUUGUCAGC
Molecule: long non-coding RNA, 6673 nt
Organism: Physeter macrocephalus (sperm whale)
Lineage: Eukaryota; Metazoa; Chordata; Mammalia; Artiodactyla; Physeteridae
Exons: 5
Source: RefSeq, a predicted model, not a curated record